GUAGGUGGCAAGCGUUGUCCGGGAAUUAUUGGGGCGUAAAGCGCGCGCAGGCGGUUCUUUAAGUCUGGAUGUGAAAGCCCACGGGCUCAACCGUGGAGGGUCAUUGGAGACUGGAGAACUUGAGUACAGAAGAGGAAAGCGGAAUUCCACGUGUAGCGGUGAAAUGCGUAGAGAUGUGGAGGAACACCAGUGGCGAAGGCGGCUUUCUGGUCUGUAACUGACGCUGAGGCGCGAAAGCGUGGGGAGCAAACAGGAUUAGAUACCCUGGUAGUCCACGCCGUAAACGAUGAGUGCUAAGUGUUAGGGGGUUUCCGCCCCUUAGUGCUGCAGCUAACGCAUUAAGCACUCCGCCUGGGGAGUACGGCCGCAAAGGCUGA
This 377-nucleotide ribosomal RNA is filed under the name uncultured organism. RNAcentral describes it as "partial 16S ribosomal RNA". It matches the Rfam family "Bacterial small subunit ribosomal RNA", at positions 527 to 897 of the family's 1533-position model. The record is from RNAcentral.